AAUUUUUGGGUGUGACAUCAGAGAACAAAUUGUACAUGUUAAAAUACUCUCUUUUAACACCUGUAAUAAAUGUAUAUCAUACCAGGAAAUAAAACCUGAUACUAAGAUGUUGGCUGUAAGCAGCAUAGAAAAAAAUAUAUGGUGUUUGGAUGAAAAUGGAACUAUAUUGAUUUACAGCCCAUCAAAGAUUGAGAAAAUUGAUGAGUUUUGUUUAUUGGUGAAUACAAUAGAUGUUGUACACUC
Long non-coding RNA from Ruditapes philippinarum (Manila clam), 243 nucleotides. RefSeq lists it as uncharacterized. The transcript has 3 exons. NCBI's taxonomy places the organism in Eukaryota, Metazoa, Mollusca, Bivalvia, Venerida, Veneridae. The record is from RefSeq and is a predicted model, not a curated record.